This 498-nucleotide ribosomal RNA is filed under the name uncultured Actinomycetes bacterium. RNAcentral describes it as "bacterial SSU rRNA". It matches the Rfam family "Bacterial small subunit ribosomal RNA", at positions 9 to 519 of the family's 1533-position model. The record is from RNAcentral. Lineage: Bacteria; Bacillati; Actinomycetota; Actinomycetes.
GAGUUUGAUCAUGGCCAGGACGAACCCUGGCGGCGUGCUUAACACAUGCAAGUCGAACGGGAUUCCGCCGACCUUCGGGGAAGCGAAAAUCUAGUGGCGAACGGGUGCGUAACACGUGAGAAACCUGGCCCAGACUUGGGAAUAACAGUCGGAAACGACUGCUAAUACCGAAUACCUUCGGAACGUCGCAUGGCGAAUCGAAGAAAGCUUUUGCGGUUUGGGAGGGUCUCGCGGCCUAUCAGCUAGUUGGUGAGGUAACGGCUCACCAAGGCAUCGACGGGUAGCUGGUCUGAGAGGAUGAUCAGCCACACUGGGACUGAGACACGGCCCAGACUCCUACGGGAGGCAGCAGUGGGGAAUCUUGCACAAUGAGCGAAAGCCUGAUGCAGCAACGCCGCGUGGGGGAAGAAGGCCUUAGGGUUGUAAACCGCUUUCAGCAGGGAAGAAAAUGACGGUACCUGCAGAAGAAGGUGCGGCCAACUACGUGCCAGCAGCGCG